AAGUCGUAACAAGGUUUUGCUAAGCAACAGUCCUUCUGUAGCAGAGCUUAACGGAGACCUUGCACCCGAGAGGGGAGAGGCGACUAUAAAGAACUCUCAGCGCAAGUCAGCACUGCUGGCAACACAAUCGAAUUGCGGGGACGCUUUAAAGCUCACCAGUACCAACUGCUCUUCCAGGGCAGGGCUAGCCUAGCUAGAGGUCACAACCUGGUGGGAUGCUACAAUAAGCAAUCCGCAGCGGCUCAGCCGUCCACAGACUAAGUGGUUGUGGGUAGGAAUCCCCCUACUUAAGAUAUAGUCGGGCCCUGUGACAAGUCAUAGGGGCUUCUGCGUCCGUAGGUGAACCUGCGGAAGGAUCAUUACCCGAAAGGAUACCCUCGUGGUAUACCCCACCCGUGUCUAUCUACUCUUGUUGCUUUGGCAGGCCGUGGUCUUCCACUGUGGGCUCUGCCUGCAUGUGCCUGCCAGAGGACCAAACUCUGAAUUUUAGUGAUGUCUGAGUACUAUAUAAUAGUUAAAACUUUCAACAACGGAUCUCUUGGUUCUGGCAUCGAUGAAGAACGCAGCGAAAUGCGAUAAGUAAUGUGAAUUGCAGAAUUCAGUGAAUCAUCGAAUCUUUGAACGCACAUUGCGCCCUGUGGUAUUCCGCAGGGCAUGCCUGUUCGAGCGUCAUUACAACCAAAAUUAAGCCCAGCUUAGUGUUGGGGUUCGCAGUUCUGCGGCCCUUAAUAUCAGUGGCGGUGCCUGUAGGCUCUGAGCGUAGUAAUUCUUCUCGCUAUAGAGCCCUAUAAGUGUCUUGCCAGAACCCCCAUAUUUUUUCAGGUUGACCUCGGAUCAGGUAGGGAUACCCGCUGAACUUAA
Molecule: ribosomal RNA, 861 nt
Filed under: uncultured fungus
Lineage: Eukaryota; Fungi
Description: eukaryotic LSU rRNA
Rfam family: 5.8S ribosomal RNA (bases 519-672)
Source: RNAcentral